Molecule: ribosomal RNA, 482 nt
Filed under: uncultured bacterium
Lineage: Bacteria
Description: bacterial SSU rRNA
Rfam family: Bacterial small subunit ribosomal RNA
Source: RNAcentral
AUUGAACGCUGGCGGCAUGCCUUACACAUGCAAGUCGAACGGUAACAGGUCUUCGGAUGCUGACGAGUGGCGAACGGGUGAGUAAUACAUCGGAACGUGCCCGAGAGUGGGGGAUAACGAAGCGAAAGCUUUGCUAAUACCGCAUACGAUCUCAGGAUGAAAGCAGGGGACCGCAAGGCCUUGCGCUCACGGAGCGGCCGAUGGCAGAUUAGGUAGUUGGUGGGAUAAAAGCUUACCAAGCCGACGAUCUGUAGCUGGUCUGAGAGGACGACCAGCCACACUGGGACUGAGACACGGCCCAGACUCCUACGGGAGGCAGCAGUGGGGAAUUUUGGACAAUGGGCGCAAGCCUGAUCCAGCAAUGCCGCGUGCAGGAAGAAGGCCUUCGGGUUGUAAACUGCUUUUGUCAGGGAAGAAAUCUUCUGGGCUAAUACCCCGGGAGGAUGACGGUACCUGAAGAAUAAGCACCGGCUAACUACGUG